This 143-nucleotide unclassified non-coding RNA is filed under the name uncultured Meliniomyces. RNAcentral's name for it is "sequence contains ITS2". The record is from RNAcentral. Lineage: Eukaryota; Fungi; Ascomycota; Leotiomycetes; Helotiales; Helotiaceae.
UAACCACUCAAGCCUCGGCUUGGUCUUGGGGUUCGCGGUCUCGCGUCCCUUAAAAUCAGUGGCGGUGCCGUCUGGCUCUAAGCGUAGUAAUUCUCUCGCUAUAGGGUCCCGGUGGUUGCCUGCCAGAACCCCCCAUUUUUUAC